AUUGAACGCUGGCGGCAUGCCUUACACAUGCAAGUCGAACGGCAGCACGGGUGCUUGCACCUGGUGGCGAGUGGCGAACGGGUGAGUAAUACAUCGGAACGUACCUUAUCGUGGGGGAUAACGCAGCGAAAGUUGCGCUAAUACCGCAUACGCCCUGAGGGGGAAAGCGGGGGACCGUAAGGCCUCGCGCGAUUAGAGCGGCCGAUGUCUGAUUAGCUUGUUGGUGAGGUAAAAGCUCACCAAGGCGAUGAUCAGUAGCUGGUCUGAGAGGACGAUGCGCCACACUGGGACUGAGACACGGCCCAGACGCCUACGGGAGGCAGCAGUGGUGAAUUUUGGACAAUGGGGGCAACCCUGAUCCAGCAAUGCCGCGUGAGUGAAGAAGGCCUUCGGGUUGUAAAGCUCUUUUGUCAGGGAAGAAACAGCAGCUCUAACACAGUCUGCGAAUGACGGUACCUGAAGAAUAAGCACCGGCUAACUACGUGCCAGCCGCCGCAGUAA
RNAcentral lists this ribosomal RNA (501 nucleotides) under uncultured bacterium. Its description in RNAcentral is "partial 16S ribosomal RNA". It matches the Rfam family "Bacterial small subunit ribosomal RNA", at positions 30 to 523 of the family's 1533-position model. The record is from RNAcentral.